CUGGCUGCUUGUCUCCAAACAGCAACGGAAUGCCUUGGCCUGGCUGUUCAGUAAUCCCCUGCCAGCUGGCUGCCUCCCUUUCCUCUGGGAACUCAGUGAAUCACACCUCCGCAGCGCGUUUGGCUCUUGCAAGCCCUGAAGGGCUGGAGGCUUGUGCCUGCCAGCUCCGAGGAGCUGCAGCCCAACUUCUGAGCAUGGAUCAUGUCGGGACCCUGGAAUUUCUGAGCACAGGAGGCUUUCCAGCUGCAGGGGAAGAACACUCAUCUGGAGGCACUGCAGGAUUCAAAGAUACACAAGGGUAACUUGUCAGAAGAGAACAUCCUCCUAUCAGUUCAAAACA
Molecule: long non-coding RNA, 340 nt
Filed under: Homo sapiens (human)
Lineage: Eukaryota; Metazoa; Chordata; Mammalia; Primates; Hominidae
Description: HSALNT0121696
Source: RNAcentral